This 495-nucleotide ribosomal RNA is filed under the name uncultured bacterium. Its description in RNAcentral is "partial 16S ribosomal RNA". It matches the Rfam family "Bacterial small subunit ribosomal RNA", at positions 28 to 507 of the family's 1533-position model. The record is from RNAcentral.
GAUGAACGCUGGCGGCGUGCCUAAUACAUGCAAGUCGAGCGAACAGAUGAGGAGCUUGCUCCUCUGACGUUAGCGGCGGACGGGUGAGUAACACGUGGAUAACCUACCUAUAAGACUGGGAUAACUUCGGGAAACCGGAGCUAAUACCGGAUAAUAUAUUGAACCGCAUGGUUCAAUAGUGAAAGACGGUUUUGCUGUCACUUAUAGAUGGAUCCGCGCCGCAUUAGCUAGUUGGUAAGGUAACGGCUUACCAAGGCAACGAUGCGUAGCCGACCUGAGGGGUGAUCGGCCACACUGGAACUGAGACACGGUCCAGACUCCUACGGGAGGCAGUAGUAGGGAAUCUUCCGCAAUGGGCGAAAGCCUGACGGAGCAACGCCGCGUGAGUGAGGAAGGUCUUCGGAUCGUAAAACUCUGUUAUUAGGGAAGAACAAAUGUGUAAGUAACUAUGCACGUCUUGACGGUACCUAUCAGAAAGCCACGUCUAACUACGUG